AUUGAACGCUGGCGGCAGGCCUAACACAUGCAAGUCGCACGAGUGGCGGACGGGUGAGUAAUGUCUGGGAAACUGCCCGAUGGAGGGGGCUAACUACUGGAAACGGUAGCUAAUACCGCAUACCCUCGGAUGUGCCCAGAGGGUAUUAGCUAGUAGGUGGGGUAAUGGCUCACCUAGGCGACGAUCCCUAGCUGGUCUGAGAGGAUGACCAGCCACACUGGAACUGAGACACGGUCCAGACUCCUACGGGAGGCAGCAGGGGGGAAUAUUGCACAAUGGGCGCAAGCCUGAUGCAGCCAUGCCGCGUGUAUGAAGAAGGCCUUCGGGUUGUAAAGGACUUUCAGCGAGGAGGCGUUAUUCGCAGAAGAAGCACCGGCUAACGCCGUGCCAGCCGCCGCGGUAAUUC
Molecule: ribosomal RNA, 406 nt
Filed under: uncultured bacterium
Lineage: Bacteria
Description: partial 16S ribosomal RNA
Rfam family: Bacterial small subunit ribosomal RNA
Source: RNAcentral